Long non-coding RNA from Passer domesticus (house sparrow), 541 nucleotides. RefSeq lists it as uncharacterized. Lineage: Eukaryota; Metazoa; Chordata; Aves; Passeriformes; Passeridae. The record is from RefSeq and is a predicted model, not a curated record. The transcript is spliced from 4 exons.
GUAGCCAUUGCAUGCAAUAGAGGCCUGCUUUCCUGGGGAUGGCUGAACACCUGCCUGCCUCUGGGAUGGUUUUAAAUAGGUGGAGGAAUAUUUCCUGAGCUCACAGAGAUAUUCAGAAGAUGGGGCUCAACUCAUGAGCAUCAAAUUUUGGAAAAAGCAUUAUUUUAUCCAUUUUUGCCUCACUGUGAUUUGAAUAACAACUGGUGUAGAAAGAAGAAGUCCUGCAAUGCUUUUCAUAAAUGAAAUUAUCAAGUUUCUACAAUUUAAAGGGCCAAGGGAAAACUGACAUACCCCUUGUGUAAAAGGCUUCUUCAGUCUUUUCAACUUUUUGCCUUAAAACUGUGCAGAUGGAGAGAAGAAAGGAAGGAAGAUGCAUUAUUUUCUUUAGUAGCGAAGCCUGAAACCUUAAUGCUGUUAUGAUUCUAUAACUUGUCUUUGGUUGCCUUAAGUCUUCAUAAAUAUUCAGGUCCCACCUUUUCAGUUUCUGCUGUGGAUUUCAACACCUGAAUGAAACCCUUUCCUUUGCAAAUCUCCUACCAAA